GAUGAACGCUGGCGGCGUGCGUAAUACAUGCAAGUAGAACGCUGAAGCUUGGUGCUUGCACCGAGCGGAUGAGUUGCGAACGGGUGAGUAACGCGUAGGUAACCUGCCUCUUAGCGGGGGAUAACUAUUGGAAACGAUAGCUAAUACCGCAUAAAAGUCGACAUCGCAUGAUGUUGACUUGAAAGGUGCAAAUGCAUCACUAAGAGAUGGACCUGCGUUGUAUUAGCUAGUUGGUGAGGUAACGGCUCACCAAGGCGACGAUACAUAGCCGACCUGAGAGGGUGAUCGGCCACACUGGGACUGAGACACGGCCCAGACUCCUACGGGAGGCAGCAGUAGGGAAUCUUCGGCAAUGGGGGCAACCCUGACCGAGCAACGCCGCGUGAGUGAAGAAGGUUUUCGGAUCGUAAAGCUCUGUUGUAAGAGAAGAACGAGUGUGAGAGUGGAAAGUUCACACUGUGACGGUAACUUACCAGAAAGGGACGGCUAACUACGUGCCAGCAGCCGCGGUAAUACGUAGGUCCCGAGCGUUAUCCGGAUUUAUUGGGCGUAAAGCGUGCGCAGGCGGUUAGAUAAGUCUGAAGUUAAAGGCUGUGGCUUAACCAUAGUACGCUUUGGAAACUGUUUAACUUGAGUGCAGAAGGGGAGAGUGGAAUUCCAUGUGUAGCGGUGAAAUGCGUAGAUAUAUGGAGGAACACCGGUGGCGAAAGCGGCUCUCUGGUCUGUAACUGACGCUGAGGCUCGAAAGCGUGGGGAGCAAACAGG
This 765-nucleotide ribosomal RNA is filed under the name uncultured Streptococcus sp. Its description in RNAcentral is "bacterial SSU rRNA". It matches the Rfam family "Bacterial small subunit ribosomal RNA", at positions 28 to 776 of the family's 1533-position model. Lineage: Bacteria; Bacillati; Bacillota; Bacilli; Lactobacillales; Streptococcaceae. The record is from RNAcentral.